GCUCCUAUAGAACAACUUAGAUAAUUCGCUAGACUUAGGCUCUAGAGAUUCUUGGUGCAAAUCCAAGUAGUAGCU
Molecule: transfer RNA, 75 nt
Filed under: Cirrhitichthys aprinus (spotted hawkfish)
Lineage: Eukaryota; Metazoa; Chordata; Actinopteri; Centrarchiformes; Cirrhitidae
Description: tRNA-Leu
Rfam family: tRNA
About the family: Transfer RNA (tRNA) molecules are approximately 80 nucleotides in length. Their secondary structure includes four short double-helical elements and three loops (D, anti-codon, and T loops).
Source: RNAcentral